UAUUUUGUUGGAGGGAGAUGUAGAGAAUCUCUCCCUCUCUCUCUAUCUCUCCCCCUCUCUCUAUCUCUCCCCCCCUCUCUAUCUGUUUCUAUGUUCCUUUUUUGCUUCGUGGGUUUUCUCUAAUCUCUGUUUAGUGGUUAGCAUCAAAGAAACUGUGAAAAGUUGAAGGAUUCAAAUGAUGAAACUUGUGUCUGGAAUCAAAUCAUAUAAGGGAACGUUUUUACCCUUUUCUUGGGUUAUCUUGAUGUCAAACUAUCGUACUUUUGUUGCUUAGAAACUUGAGGAUUGUAUGGUUGUUUCAUUUUCUUUGUCUUCUUUCUUCAUUGAUUGAACAUUAUGAGGAGGGAACUCAUUCAUAAACGACCUUCAUGUUUUAUAUGCUAGUGCCUUUGCCAAGCCUAAAAAAAUCUUAAACCCUAAGAGAAGAAUGAGGAUCCUACUCGGUUUAUAUUUGAAUACAUGAACAUCUUUAUCAUUUCUCUUUAAUUUUUUAACAUUUUGAAACUCUUUGCUAUUGAUUUGAUCAAAGUGUCAUCUUUUAGAAAACACACCCAUGUUUUAAAACCCA
This 568-nucleotide long non-coding RNA is filed under the name Lupinus angustifolius (narrow-leaved blue lupine). Its description in RNAcentral is "long non-coding RNA (LANG_LNC002891)". Lineage: Eukaryota; Viridiplantae; Streptophyta; Magnoliopsida; Fabales; Fabaceae. The record is from RNAcentral.